Long non-coding RNA from Drosophila subobscura, 116 nucleotides. RefSeq lists it as uncharacterized. Lineage: Eukaryota; Metazoa; Arthropoda; Insecta; Diptera; Drosophilidae. The record is from RefSeq and is a predicted model, not a curated record. The transcript is spliced from 3 exons.
AGCUGGAGCUGAAGCUGGAGCCAGAACCUCGCUCUUGGACACUUUAUGCGGCAGAUGUGCCUCGUAAAGAUUUCCUCACUGUGGAACGUGUGCAUAAAAAGCAUUUCAAGCAUUUU